Molecule: ribosomal RNA, 331 nt
Filed under: uncultured eukaryote
Lineage: Eukaryota
Description: partial 18S ribosomal RNA
Rfam family: Eukaryotic small subunit ribosomal RNA
Source: RNAcentral
CCCUUAGAUGUUCUGGGCCGCACGCGCGCUACACUGACGAAGUCAGCGAGCAUGUCCUACGCCGACAGGUGCGGGGAAUCUUGUCAAACUUCGUCGUGAUGGGGAUUGAUUAUUGAAAUUCUUGAUCAUCAACGAGGAAUUCCUAGUAAGCGCAAGUCAGCAGCUUGCGUUGAUUACGUCCCUGCCCUUUGUACACACCGCCCGUCGCUACUACCGAUUGAAUGGUUUAGUGAGAUCUUCGGAUUGGCGCCACUGCGGCUCAGCAAUGGGCUCGGUGGAUGCCGAAAAGUUGAUCAAACUUGAUCAUUUAGAGGAAGGAGAAGUCGUAACA